This 496-nucleotide ribosomal RNA is filed under the name uncultured bacterium. Its description in RNAcentral is "partial 16S ribosomal RNA". It matches the Rfam family "Bacterial small subunit ribosomal RNA", at positions 29 to 507 of the family's 1533-position model. The record is from RNAcentral.
AUGAACGCUGGCGGCGUGCCUAAUACAUGCAAGUCGAGCGAACGGACGAGAAGCUUGCUUCUCUGAUGUUAGCGGCGGACGGGUGAGUAACACGUGGAUAACCUACCUAUAAGACUGGGAUAACUUCGGGAAACCGGAGCUAAUACCGGAUAAUAUUUUGAACCGCAUGGUUCAAAAGUAAAAGACGGUCUUGCUGUCACUUAUAGAUGGAUCCGCGCUGCAUUAGCUAGUUGGUAAGGUAACGGCUUACCAAGGCAACGAUGCAUAGCCGACCUGAGAGGGUGAUCGGCCACACUGGAACUGAGACACGGUCCAGACUCCUACGGGAGGCAGCAGUAGGGAAUCUUCCGCAAUGGGCGAAAGCCUGACGGAGCAACGCCGCGUGAGUGAUGAAGGUCUUCGGAUCGUAAAACUCUGUUAUUAGGGAAGAACAUAUGUGUAAGUAACUGUGCACAUCUUGACGGUACCUAAUCAGAAAGCCACGGCCAACUACGUG